AUUGAACGCUGGCGGCAUGCUUUACACAUGCAAGUCGAACGGUAACAGGCCGCAAGGUGCUGACGAGUGGCGAACGGGUGAGUAAUGCAUCGGAACGUGCCCAGUCGUGGGGGAUAACUACUCGAAAGAGUAGCUAAUACCGCAUACGAUCUAUGGAUGAAAGCGGGGGACCGUAAGGCCUCGCGCGAUUGGAGCGGCCGAUGGCAGAUUAGGUAGUUGGUGGGGUAAAGACUCACCAAGCCAACGAUCUGUAGCUGGUCUGAGAGGACGACCAUCCACACUGGAACUGAGACUCGCAAAAGCGUCAUACGGACGGCAGCAGUGGGGAAUUUUGGACAAUGGGCGCAAGCCUGAUCCAGCAAAGCCGCGUGCAGAAAGCAGACCUUCGGGUUGUAAAAUGCUUUUGUACGGAACGAAACGGCUCUGGUUAAUACCGGAAGCUAAUGACGGUCCCGUAAGAAUAAGCACCGGCUAACUACGUG
This 482-nucleotide ribosomal RNA is filed under the name uncultured bacterium. Its description in RNAcentral is "partial 16S ribosomal RNA". It matches the Rfam family "Bacterial small subunit ribosomal RNA", at positions 30 to 507 of the family's 1533-position model. The record is from RNAcentral.